RNAcentral lists this small nuclear RNA (146 nucleotides) under Fukomys damarensis (Damara mole-rat). RNAcentral's name for it is "U2 spliceosomal RNA". It matches the Rfam family "U2 spliceosomal RNA". Rfam says of the family: U2 is a small nuclear RNA (snRNA) component of the spliceosome (involved in pre-mRNA splicing). Complementary binding between U2 snRNA (in an area lying towards the 5' end but 3' to hairpin I) and the branchpoint sequence (BPS) of the intron results the bulging out of an unpaired adenosine, on the BPS, which initiates a nucleophilic attack at the intronic 5' splice site, thus starting the first of two transesterification reactions that mediate splicing. The record is from Rfam by way of RNAcentral. Lineage: Eukaryota; Metazoa; Chordata; Mammalia; Rodentia; Bathyergidae.
AUCACUUCUUGGCCUUUUGGCUAAGAUCAAGUGUAGAUGUGUAAGACUUCAUGCAGAAAUUUUCAAAAUCAUGUGCAACUCUCCAAAUAAAAAAUGUGUCAAGAUUUACUAUACUUUUAAAUUUUAGUUGAGAUGAAUUAACUUUC